UCUUUCCUGUUGACACCAACUGUAAAAGAGCCAACUUCGUAGAUGAUCUUUUGUUAUAGAAAAAUAUCAAAACAUGAUGAAAAGCUGCUGUAUUGUUCAAUGUACAUGCAACCGGGUCAAAAAAUCCCGACCGACGGUUUGCAAUGCUCCCAUGUAGGGAAAGAGCUUGCGAGAAGAGCCCUGUGGCUUAAAGCUAUUCGGCGUGGGAAAGUGGGAAAUGAAGGGACACGGUGUCCAUGUAGGCUAUAUGUGUGUGAAAAACAUUUAAUAACAGAAAAGGAGAGUGGACUGGGGUGGCUAUUGUGCUUGGAUAGGGAAUUCAAAUUGGGCCCCAACUGCCUGCAUCUUCAAACGCCAAAGAACAGUUGACUUCCUUUCCUGUUUCAUCCGAGAGAUGUUGGGUUUCCCAUACAUCUAUCAGUGCUGUGAGAAUGAAUUGCAGCAAGGAAAACAGAACAGAUAAAAAGAAAAGGGAAGGAAGAUAAUCGCCGUGGUGAUUAUUCUGAUAGACUGUUGAGUGGCAGUGUUGACAUGAACUGCUCCAUGGGAAGCUGGCUCUCACAAAGGGAUUCACAGGAGAAUCCAUCCAAUCCCAGGGGAAGCAAUUGAUGGCCAAUAUCCUGUUGGCUGAGGAGGACUGGGAUGUAAAGAAAGCCAAGCAUUUUGUAACGGCUUCUGUUGAGACAAGAAACCCGUUGGAAAGCAAAACAAACUAAGCACACAGAUCAAUGGAAAGAGGAUGGACAAUUAAGUCAGUCAAACAGAUGUGCUAAUUACAAUUGCAUUGAUAAUGAACUGAACCUGUUUUUCUUUUCAUAUCCCUUUUCUUGCCUAUAUGGCUUGUGCAUGUACAGUGCUGAAUUUCAUUCAGUGAAGUCAAUUCAUAUUCAUUCAAAGUCCUUCGAAGAGGUAAAUGGGAUUCUGUUGCUAAUGGAAAUGUCAUCAAGAAUGAGUUCUUCUCUUGUGUACUGUGUCAGAGAAGUCAGAGAAAACUAUUACAUUCCGACUGUAUGUGGGUUUCCAUCCUAAAGAGGCAGAACUCAACUCUACUGUGUCCCCAGAUGAGGGGAUUACAAAUGAUGAUACACCAAAUCAUGCUGUGAAUUUGGUACUUGCGUCAUUUCAUUCCGACUGUCCUAGCUACAUGACUGUUCUGCAAAGUCAGGACACAUUGGAAAUGCUUUUCUCUGUAUGAUUUUGAUCCAAA
Long non-coding RNA from Oncorhynchus nerka (sockeye salmon), 1207 nucleotides. RefSeq lists it as uncharacterized. Lineage: Eukaryota; Metazoa; Chordata; Actinopteri; Salmoniformes; Salmonidae. The record is from RefSeq and is a predicted model, not a curated record. The transcript has 3 exons.